RNAcentral lists this ribosomal RNA (492 nucleotides) under uncultured bacterium. RNAcentral's name for it is "partial 16S ribosomal RNA". It matches the Rfam family "Bacterial small subunit ribosomal RNA", at positions 29 to 507 of the family's 1533-position model. The record is from RNAcentral.
AGUGAACGCUGGCGGUAGGCCUAACACAUGCAAGUCGAACGGCAGCACAGUAAGAGCUUGCUCUUACGGGUGGCGAGUGGCGGACGGGUGAGGAAUACAUCGGAAUCUACUUUUUCGUGGGGGAUAACGUAGGGAAACUUACGCUAAUACCGCAUACGACCUACGGGUGAAAGCAGGGGAUCUUCGGACCUUGCGCGAUUGAAUGAGCCGAUGUCGGAUUAGCUAGUUGGCGGGGUAAAGGCCCACCAAGGCGACGAUCCGUAGCUGGUCUGAGAGGAUGAUAAGCCACACUGGAACUGAGACACGGUCCAGACUCCUACGGGAGGCAGCAGUGGGGAAUAUUGGACAAUGGGCGCAAGCCUGAUCCAGCCAUACCGCGUGGGUGAAGAAGGCCUUCGGGUCGUAAAGCCCUUUUGUUGGGAAAGAAAAGCAGCAGGUUAAUACCCCGCUGUUCUGACGGUACCCAAAGAAUAAGCACCGGCUAACUUCGUG